CAGUAGCCACGGGAAUACAGAGGGUGCGAGCGUUAAUCGGAUUUACUGGGCGUAAAGCGUGCGUAGGCGGCUUCUUAAGUCGGAUGUGAAAUCCCUGAGCUUAACUUAGGAAUUGCAUUCGAUACUGGGAAGCUAGAGUAUGGGAGAGGAUGGUAGAAUUCCAGGUGUAGCGGUGAAAUGCGUAGAGAUCUGGAGGAAUACCGAUGGCGAAGGCAGCCAUCUGGCCUAAUACUGACGCUGAGGUACGAAAGCAUGGGGAGCAAACAGGAUUAGAUACCCGUGUAGUCCCUGUCUCUUAUAC
Molecule: ribosomal RNA, 301 nt
Filed under: uncultured bacterium
Lineage: Bacteria
Description: partial 16S ribosomal RNA
Rfam family: Bacterial small subunit ribosomal RNA
Source: RNAcentral